This 1551-nucleotide unclassified non-coding RNA is filed under the name Hevea brasiliensis (rubber tree). The record is from RNAcentral. Lineage: Eukaryota; Viridiplantae; Streptophyta; Magnoliopsida; Malpighiales; Euphorbiaceae.
GUAAAAAUGAUAUAUUUUAUUACAAUUAUAUAAAAUUGUAAUGCACGUCACAAAAUAUACACAUAUAUACAACUUCAAUUGAGACUCCAAUUUAAAAGUACAGAGUCUUAAAAAUGACUUUAAUAUCAUUGAGCUAUUUAAAACUCAUCUACAGUAACUGUUUUAAGUUGCAACUAAAAGGGCAUGCUAAUGGGUUGCAGUGCAAGAGUACAUUUCUACUCAAAUCCUGAAUCAUGGAUUGCCUUGCCAUGAAUCUUUAUUUUCAAUAGGUUUCUGUAGGACUAGGAAGGUACAAAUUUCAUGCAGAUUGGUGGAUUUAUUUUGGCCAAAGCAAGUAUAGCAGCAGGAAGAGUCCAUAGUCCUUCUCCACACAGUAAUCCUGAAGCAACUGCUGGAAUCAUAAACUCUGCCUUCUUGGCGUUGAUUUUAUUCCAUGUGAAAACAAUUAAACUUCCAACACACAUAUCAAUGGCAUAGUAAGCCCCAACAAGGAAAGGCACUGCCAUAACCAUUGGAAGUGGCAUCCAUGGUCCAAAUUUCUGUGGCGAGAGAUCUCUUACCAGGUUAACUGCCACUGCAAAACCAAAGAAACCAUAACAAAGCUGCAAACAAUGUUGAGGCAAAGCCGAGAACCCCUGAACACCAAGAAUUGCCAUGUUUCUAUAGAUUAGUGCAUAAGGAGCUUUAAACUCUCCAUUUGGAUUUCCAACAUCGAAUGCCUUGUAGAAGAGGAAGAAGGUGAGAGGAGCCAUCACACAACCAACGGCAGUGCCAAUAACUUGGCUCAUGAACAUUGCUCUUGGGGAUGUGCAAGUCAGAUGGGCUGUUUUGAAAUCCUGCAUAAGUACGCAGGCAACAGAAACGACAGAUUUUAUAAGGCCACACCCGGCAAGAGCUGCAACGACACCGUUCUCUUUCCCAGACAGUGCUGCUAGUACAAAGAGAGCAACUUUGCCAUAAUUAUAGGCCAUGUUUAUGUCUGUUAAACCAGCACCAUAAGCAUUGCAAAAUGCCAGAGACGGAGCAAGAAUAUAAGAAACAACAACGUAGUACCAUUUAAGCUGUGGGAAUAUUAUUGGGACAGCAAUUAUGGAUAUAAUGGAGAAUAAGACAUAUCCAACAGCUCCUAUCCACAUGGGUAUCUUCUCUCGGAGGAAGAAUUCGUUUUGUUUUAAAUCAUCAAGUGACUUGUGCGGGUCAUCCAAAGCCUCUGUAUUGAGGUUGCUGCUCCUUAAUCUGCCAUGGAUGUUAAUGAUUGUACAACUCAUUAUCUUGACGAAACUGUAAAGCCCAUCUCCUAGGAUUAGAGCAACUGAUAUAAAAACCUUGUAACCAUACAAGCCCUUCAUGUUAGCAUCUCCUUCUAAAUUCUCAGGGAACCAAUCUCCUUUGAGCUUAUCAAUAAGUGGCCACAUAAUCCCAUAUGAAAGGACAGCGCCCAGAAGCAAAGACAAGUUCACUAGGUGGGAAACAAUCAUCCCUGCUCCCACAAAAGUGGCGCUAAAAUCAAAGAAAAAUGUUUGCUUCCAAGCUUGCAAUCCAAAAGUAGGG